This 496-nucleotide ribosomal RNA is filed under the name uncultured bacterium. RNAcentral's name for it is "partial 16S ribosomal RNA". It matches the Rfam family "Bacterial small subunit ribosomal RNA", at positions 29 to 507 of the family's 1533-position model. The record is from RNAcentral.
AUGAACGCUGGCGGCGUGCCUAAUACAUGCACGUCGAGCGAACAGACGAGGAGCUUGCUCCUCUGACGUUAGCGGCGGACGGGUGAGUAACACGUGGAUAACCUACCUAUAAGGCUGGGAUAACUUCGGGAAACCGGAGCUAAUACCGGAUAAUAUAUUGAACCGCAUGGUUCAAUAGUGAAAGACGGUUUUGCUGUCACUUAUAGAUGGAUCCGCGCCGCAUUAGCUAGUUGGUAAGGUAACGGCUUACCAAGGCAACGAUGCGUAGCCGACCUGAGAGGGUGAUCGGCCACACUGGAACUGAGACACGGUCCAGACUCCUACGGGAGGCAGCAGUAGGGAAUCUUCCGCAAUGGGCGAAAGCUUGACGGAGCAACGCCGCGUGAGUGAUGAAGGUCUUCGGAUCGUAAAACUCUGUUAUUAGGGAAGAACAAAUGUGUAAGUAACUAUGCACGUCUUGACGGUACCUAAUCAGAAAGCCACGGCUAACUACGUG